Molecule: ribosomal RNA, 1271 nt
Filed under: Actinoallomurus iriomotensis
Lineage: Bacteria; Bacillati; Actinomycetota; Actinomycetes; Streptosporangiales; Thermomonosporaceae
Description: partial 23S ribosomal RNA
Rfam family: Bacterial large subunit ribosomal RNA
Source: RNAcentral
UCAAGUUUUUAAGAGCACACGGUGGAUGCCUUGGCAUCAGGAGCCGAUGAAGGACGUGGGAGCCUGCGAUAUGCCCCGGGGAGUUGGCAACCGAGCGUUGAUCCGGGGGUUUCCGAAUGGGGAAACCUAGCACCCGUCAUGGGGUGUUGCCGCCACCUGAAUGUAUAGGGUGGUUGGUGGUAACGCGGGGAAGUGAAACAUCUCAGUACCCGUAGGAAGAGAAAACAACAUGUGAUUCCCUGAGUAGUGGUGAGCGAAAGGGGAUCAGGCUAAACCAUGCGCGUGUGAUAGCCGGCGGGCGUUGCGUGUGUGGGGUUGUGGGAGCAUUCUUGUCUGGUCCGCUGACUGGGCGUGGAGUAAGAAAACAAUGAGGUAGUCGAACGAUCUGGAAUGGUCGACCGUAGUCGGUGAUAGUCCGGUAGGUGAAACCUUGUUGUCUCCAUUGGGUGUUUCCCGAGUAGCACGGGGCUCGUGAAAUCUCGUGUGAAUCUGCCAGGACCACCUGGUAAGCCUAAAUACUUCCUGGUGACCGAUAGCGGACUAGUACCGUGAGGGAAAGGUGAAAAGUGCCCCGGUGAGGGGUCGUGAAAGAGUACCUGAAACCGUGUGCUUACAAGCCGUCAGAGCCUUGCAUUCCUUGUGGGUGUUGGGGUGAUGGCGUGCCUUUUGAAGAAUGAGCCUGCGAGUUAUGGUGUGUGGCGAGGUUAACCCGUGUGGGGGAGCCGUAGCGAAAGCGAGUCUGAAUAGGGCGUUUGAGUCGCAUGCUGUAGACCCGAAGCGGAGUGAUCUACCCAUGGGCAGGUUGAAGCGCGGGUAAGACCGUGUGGAGGACCGAACCCACCAGGGUUGAAAACCUGGGGGAUGACCUGUGGGUAGGGGUGAAAGGCCAAUCAAACUCCGUGAUAGCUGGUUCUCCCCGAAAUGCAUUUAGGUGCAGCGUCACGUGUUUCUUGCCGGAGGUAGAGCUACUGGAUGGCCUAGGGGGCCGACAAGCUUACUGAAGUCAGCCAAACUCCGAAUGCCGGUAAGUGAGAGCGUGGCAGUGAGACUGCGGGCGAUAAGGUUCGUAGUCGAGAGGGAAACAGCCCAGAUCAUCGGCUAAGGCCCCUAAGCGUGUGCUAAGUGGUAAAGGAUGUGGAGUUGCCGUGACAACCAGGAGGUUGGCUUAGAAGCAGCCACCCUUGAAAGAGUGCGUAAUAGCUCACUGGUCAAGUGAUUCCGCGCCGACAAUGUAGCGGGGCUCAAGCACACCGCCGAAGCCGUGGCAUCCC